Molecule: non-coding RNA, 835 nt
Organism: Lactuca sativa (garden lettuce)
Lineage: Eukaryota; Viridiplantae; Streptophyta; Magnoliopsida; Asterales; Asteraceae
Source: RefSeq, a predicted model, not a curated record
UUGUCAUCAGCUAUUCCAAUAUAUGUCCUCCCAACAUAAUGCCUUCGUGACACCUCUUCUCUACCGCCUUAUAUAGUCGUUUCGAACUUCAUCAUCUAACAAUUGAAUUGUUCCCUUUCUUUCUUCUACAGAUACAUGCGUUCUUCCUUUACACAUGUGUUCUUCAUCUACUUCUUAUUCUUCACAACUUACAAUGUUAUUCUAUUCCUCCAAAUUUGUGUCUUCCCUCUUCGAUUGAAGCUUCGAACCCUGAUGGCUUCGCAUGUAUGUCAACUUGUUUUUUUAUCCUUGCUUCGUCGGUUCUGGCUUACCUUUUGGGUUUGGAUCAGAAACGGUCUGCCUUAAAAGAAUGCCAUUCGAAUUUUGUUCCUUCCACUCGAUUUUUUGGCGCCGAUAAACUAGUGUAGAUGUGUGCAUCUCCAUCGUCACCCUUCCAGUCAGAAGAUUUUCAAGACACGUGGGCUAGAAACAUUCGAACAACGGUGGGAAAAAGAAGCAAAGGAGGGCACAAACUGCGUUGAUUUUACCAGGCUUCAAUUUGAACUCCGUGUAAGCAUUUAUUUAUUACUUCUAAUUUUUUAUAUUAGAAAAGACGUCAUGCUACACUUUUACUGAUAGCUGAUAAGCUUUUGCUCAAGAUCAUAUUUAGUCGAUUAAGUGAUUAUCUAGUUUAGUUAUGCAACAAAAUGGGAAUCUGAUUGUAUUUGGUUUUAUUUUCGUUAUUAUCAAUUCUUCUAUGUAAAAGGAAGAAUCUAAAAUGAGAUUAUGGUUGUUGGCAUUCAAUCAGGGAUUGUAAGUUUUAAACUGUAUUUGAAGAACUAAAUAUUUGGGUCUA